GAUGAACGCUGGCUACAGGCUUAACACAUGCAAGUCGAGGGGAAACGACGGGGAAGCUUGCUUCCCCGGGCGUCGACCGGCGCACGGGUGAGUAACGCGUAUCCAACCUGCCUCUGACUGAGGGAUAACCCGUCGAAAGUCGGCCUAAUACCUCAUGGCAUCGUCUGCGGGCAUCCAACGACGAUUAAAGAUUUCAUCGGUCAGAGAUGGGGAUGCGUCUGAUUAGCUUGUUGGCGGGGUAACGGCCCACCAAGGCGACGAUCAGUAGGGGUUCUGAGAGGAAGGUCCCCCACAUUGGAACUGAGACACGGUCCAAACUCCUACGGGAGGCAGCAGUGAGGAAUAUUGGUCAAUGGGCGAGAGCCUGAACCAGCCAAGUAGCGUGCAGGAUGACGGCCCUAUGGGUUGUAAACUGCUUUUAUACGGGGAUAAAGUGAGGGACGUGUCCUUCAUUGCAGGUACCGCAUGAAUAAGGACCGGCUAAUUCCGUG
Molecule: ribosomal RNA, 491 nt
Filed under: uncultured bacterium
Lineage: Bacteria
Description: partial 16S ribosomal RNA
Rfam family: Bacterial small subunit ribosomal RNA
Source: RNAcentral